Agrilus planipennis (emerald ash borer) is the source of this 595-nucleotide long non-coding RNA. RefSeq lists it as uncharacterized. The transcript has 3 exons. NCBI's taxonomy places the organism in Eukaryota, Metazoa, Arthropoda, Insecta, Coleoptera, Buprestidae. The record is from RefSeq and is a predicted model, not a curated record.
CUUAUUUUUAUUAUUUUAAUUUUUCAGAUUCUUGUUGACGAUUUAUUAGUUUAUAAUGGUAUAUUGGAAAUUUAUUGCCCGGAGAGAAACCCUAAUUGCUCUCUUGUCUUAUUUGCAGAAAAUAAAAGCAUUUUAGAGAAAGAUGUGGAUUCCAUUUCUAAGAGUUUACAACUACAACAAGAUCUUCUAAUUAUUAAUGAAAGCAAAGGUAAAAAUAAUACAUAUACUAAAAACCCCGAUCAAUCUUUGCGACCAUACACAUCAGUUAUUACGUAAAAAAUAAUAGCAAUCCAAACCCCAACCAUUGCUAUUGUACGAUAAUUAGUUCAAAUUUACAAACUAACUAACAUACUUAAAGUACAGAAGAGGUUCCCGAUGCGCAAGUGGCCACAUUGCUCGCUUCGCGCAAUGUAUAUGUGUUACACUGUCCGACAUGUGCAUAAUGAACUUCUGUAAAUGUAAAUUUAUAAUUUUCAAGUUUUUGGAAGGCUUUUCCUCUAAAGAAAAUAUGUGAAAAGUAAAUUUUUAACGAUAUCUGUUGUAGAUAUUGUUUACUAGAAAAGAAGGAAAAUUUUAAUUUUUGGAUCUUUUUCCU